UCCCGAAAUGAAAGCAUGGCCACUGGUAGC
This 30-nucleotide non-coding RNA is filed under the name Homo sapiens (human). The record is from RNAcentral. Lineage: Eukaryota; Metazoa; Chordata; Mammalia; Primates; Hominidae.